Epinephelus lanceolatus (giant grouper) is the source of this 464-nucleotide long non-coding RNA. RefSeq lists it as uncharacterized. Lineage: Eukaryota; Metazoa; Chordata; Actinopteri; Perciformes; Serranidae. The record is from RefSeq and is a predicted model, not a curated record.
CGGAGGAAGGGGAACUGGACAUGAAAAUACAGCGACAGAAAAGAAAGUAAAAUCUGGUCACCUGUCCAGUGUCAGCAGAGAUAGACUCCAGCCCCCCUUCAACCCAGUACCCGGAUAAGCGGAUCCCCACAACGAUUCAGCAUCCUACUUGAAAUCACCACAAUUAAGAUAAAAGGAAGGUGACGCAGAUGAAUGACCUCAUUAAUCUGAUAAAGCCAACGCUGUCAUUGGAUUACAGCCUCCUCAAAAACAUUGAUUUUGUCACUGAUGUCAUGGUGCCAGAGACCACAAUUGACAUCCUGGUGAGACUAGAAGGUUUUUCAAGAUUUUAUGCCGAGAAAAUCCUCGGAACGAUCAUCGAGUGAUCAGACGUCCCAUGGGGUGAUGUGGCAGCUGCAGUUUAGUUCCUUAUGCUCAGUUCAUGCAUUCAUACAACAUACAUUACAUCUUACACACAUGCACAU